RNAcentral lists this small RNA (520 nucleotides) under uncultured Glomus. RNAcentral's name for it is "SSU rRNA". It matches the Rfam family "Eukaryotic small subunit ribosomal RNA", at positions 569 to 1091 of the family's 1831-position model. Lineage: Eukaryota; Fungi; Glomeromycota; Glomeromycetes; Glomerales; Glomeraceae. The record is from RNAcentral.
AGCAGCCGCGGUAAUUCCAGCUCCAAUAGCGUAUAUUAAAGUUGUUGCAGUUAAAAAGCUCGUAGUUGAAUUUCGGGAUCAGUUCGCUGGUCGUGCCUUCGGUAUGUACUGGUGUUACUGGUUCCUACCUUCUGACGAACCGUCAUGUCAUUAAUUUGGUGUGGCGGGGAAUCAGGACUGUUACUUUGAAAAAUUAGAGUGUUUAAAGCAGGCUCGCGCUUGAAUACAUUAGCAUGGAAUAAUGAAAUAGGACGUUCGAUCCUAUUUUGUUGGUUUCUAGGAUUGACGUAAUGAUUAAUAGGGAUAGUUGGGGGCAUUAGUAUUCAAUUGUCAGAGGUGAAAUUCUUGGAUUUAUUGAAGACUAACUACUGCGAAAGCAUUUGCCAAGGAUGUUUUCAUUAAUCAAGAACGAAAGUUAGGGGAUCGAAGACGAUCAGAUACCGUCGUAGUCUUAACCAUAAACUAUGCCGACUAGGGAUCGGAUGAUGUUAAUUUUUAAUGUACUCAUUCGGCGCCUUAA